Molecule: ribosomal RNA, 499 nt
Filed under: uncultured bacterium
Lineage: Bacteria
Description: bacterial SSU rRNA
Rfam family: Bacterial small subunit ribosomal RNA
Source: RNAcentral
GUCAGGAUGAACGCUAGCGACAGGCCUAACACAUGCAAGUCAGGGGCAGCACAAGGAGCAAUCUGAGGUGGCGACCGGCGCACGGGUGAGUAACACGUAUGUAACCUGCCUGUAAGCGGGGAAUAACCCGUUGAAAGACGGACUAAUACCGCAUAAUACUAAAUUACUGCAUGGUAAUUUAUUUAAACAUUUAUGGCUUACAGAUGGGCAUGCGCAUGAUUAGCUAGUUGGAGAGGUAACGGCUCCCCAAGGCAACGAUCAUUAGGGUUCUGAGAGGAAGGUCCCCCACACUGGUACUGAGACACGGACCAGACUCCUACGGGAGGCAGCAGUGAGGAAUAUUGGUCAAUGGACGAGAGUCUGAACCAGCCAAGUCGCGUGCAGGAAGAAUUGUCCUAUGGAUUGUAAACUGCUUUUGCAGGGGAAUAAAGUGCAUCACGUGUGAUGUUUUGUAUGUACUCUGCGAAUAAGGAUCGGCUAACUCCGUGCCAGCCGCCGC